CUACAACUCGGUCUAAUAAUGUUUCGCUUGUUUUUUGCAUUUAUUUAUGCAUUUUCUCUCCCAUAUUUUAUAUGUAUGGGUACUCUGAAAAGUCAAGAAGCAUGGAGAAAGACAGUGAAGGGACGAGUAAUGUCCAACGUCAGCAUGACACUCUACUGGUGGAUCCAACAACACUUUUCGUAUGAAUUAGUUAGGGACGAGGCCGAAUGGGAUGCUAUUGGCGGUGAUGUGUACGAGGAGUUUGAAUUUGAAUAGCUUUCAUAAAAAGGCUGGAUAAAAUACUGUGAAAUAUUUGUAAUCUGCCAAAGUUUCAAGUACAUCAUUUUGAUUUCAAAGUUACAA
Molecule: small RNA, 342 nt
Filed under: Drosophila yakuba
Lineage: Eukaryota; Metazoa; Arthropoda; Insecta; Diptera; Drosophilidae
Description: GE28904
Source: RNAcentral